Molecule: ribosomal RNA, 566 nt
Filed under: Heyndrickxia shackletonii
Lineage: Bacteria; Bacillati; Bacillota; Bacilli; Caryophanales; Bacillaceae
Description: bacterial SSU rRNA
Rfam family: Bacterial small subunit ribosomal RNA
Source: RNAcentral
CUUUGACAUUCUCCUGAAUGUGAAAGGAAAGAUGGCUUCUGCUAUCACUUACAGAUGGGCCCGCGGCGCAUUAGCUAGUUGGUGGGAUAACGGCUCACCAAGGCGACGAUGCGUAGCCGACCUGAGAGGGUGAUCGGCCACACUGGGACUGAGACACGGCCCAGACUCCUACGGGAGGCAGCAGUAGGGAAUCUUCCGCAAUGGACGCAAGUCUGACGGAGCAACGCCGCGUGAGUGAAGAAGGUUUUCGGAUCGUAAAACUCUGUUGUUAGGGAAGAACCCGUACCGUUCAAAUAGGGCGGUACGCUGACGGUACCUAACCAGAAAGCCACGGCUAACUACGUGCCAGCAGCCGCGGUAAUACGUAGGUGGCAAGCGUUGUCCGGAAUUAUUGGGCGUAAAGCGCGCGCAGGCGGUUUCUUAAGUCUGAUGUGAAAGCCCACGGCUCAACCGUGGAGGGUCAUUGGAAACUGGGAGACUUGAGUGCAGAAGAGGAGAGUGGAAUUCCACGUGUAGCGGUGAAAUGCGUAGAGAUGUGGAGGAACACCAGUGGCGAAGGCGGCUCU